UGUCAGGAGGCCUGAUUUUAACAGCCCCGUU
RNAcentral lists this non-coding RNA (31 nucleotides) under Mus musculus (house mouse). Lineage: Eukaryota; Metazoa; Chordata; Mammalia; Rodentia; Muridae. The record is from RNAcentral.